GGAAUCUUGCGCAAUGGGCGAAAGCCUGACGCAGCGACGCCGCGUGAGCGAUGAAGGCCCUCGGGUUGUAAAGCUCUGUGGGGAGGGAAGAAUAAGGGCAGGCUAAUACCUUGUCUGAUGACGGUACCUCCUUAGCAAGCCCCGGCUAACUCUGUGCCAGCAGCCGCGGUAAGACAGAGGGUGCAAACGUUGUUCGGAAUUACUGGGCGUAAAGCGCGUGUAGGCGGCUAUGCAAGUCGGAUGUGAAAUCCCGUGGCUCAACCACGGAAGUGCACUCGAAACUGCGUAGCUGGAGUCCCGGAGAGGAAGGUGGAAUGCUUGGUGUAGAGGUGAAAUUCGUAGAUAUCAAGCGGAACACCGGUGGCGAAGGCGGCCUUCUGGACGGUGACUGACGCUGAGACGCGAAAGCGUGGGGAGCAAAC
RNAcentral lists this ribosomal RNA (422 nucleotides) under uncultured bacterium. RNAcentral describes it as "bacterial SSU rRNA". It matches the Rfam family "Bacterial small subunit ribosomal RNA", at positions 358 to 773 of the family's 1533-position model. The record is from RNAcentral.